This is a long non-coding RNA of Lates calcarifer (barramundi perch), 4573 nucleotides long. RefSeq lists it as uncharacterized. The record is from RefSeq and is a predicted model, not a curated record. The transcript has 3 exons. NCBI's taxonomy places the organism in Eukaryota, Metazoa, Chordata, Actinopteri, Centropomidae.
GCUUUCAUUGUUGUGAGAUGUACACGUUUUACCUCAUGUGUCUUGACUCUGAGAGCAGCUUCCAGUCGGGUUCAGCCUCGUCCUUGAAUCAGACUGGUUCACUGGGCCGUGGUUGUUUCAUGUUGCAUGUGAACAUCAGAACGUGGACUCUCUGGUCUACAAUGAGAACUAAUGUGGUGAUCCUGACUGAGGCCAUUUUCAUUUUGGCACCUACAGCAGCCGAGCCUCACCCCAUUAUCACAAGGUGCUAAUCCACUGGAUCCUGCUAACCACACACACACACACACACACUAACCCCUCCCUCCUCUGAGUUAAUUAGACUGCAGUCUGCUCAGAGGAGAGAGUUUUGGGAGCCAUCCGGGGCUGCACCGAGCGCCUGUUGUGGUGCUGCAAUGUUAAUAGUCCUGGAUUAGUGAGACAAUGGAGGUGGUGCUGGGAUCAAGCUGUGAGGAGGCAGCGUUCACAGAUGGGAUCAGCAUAGCUGUAGGGCUGCACACACACACAAAUCUACACACAAUGAUCAGCACUGACAGGUGAAGUGAAUAGUACGGUGGCUCUGAAGGUCAAAGCACAGCAACAUUUCACAAAACAAAACAAAACAAUUGUAGUGUUUUGUUACAUGUUGUUGAGGUGGUGACCUGAUCUGGAUCAGUGUAUUCAGUGUGUGUAGAUAUAUUCUUACGCUGCAGACACACUCUUCAUGUCAAAUAUCUGAUUCUGUGUGUGUGUGUGUUGAUCCUGGAACACACUGGUUCCAGUAACAGAUAAAGAGGAAGCAGAGCAGCCAGAGGGAGGAUGGACCUGAGGUGUGAUAGGUGACAUAUUAAGACACUGAACCAUCUCCUCUAAUGUACAAACACCUUCCCGUGUAUGUGUGGUUAAUGUGUAUCAGCCUGUUAUGGAGGAAAAUGAAACCUCAGCCUGUGAAUGUGUGAAAACAUUAACGUCAUGUUGUCAGAGAAAACACUGACGACUCUGAUUCUCUGUUUGUUGUGUCUCUGGCUCUCGGUGACGUGGGAUCUUGGCAGACACAGAGAUGUGGGAGGUUCAGUGUCUCCUUGAAUUUCCUGUUCUAAGAAGACGCUCAGAUACGCAUGUUGUUAUGCAAAUGGUGGCGUAACCUCAGUCAUGUGUUGAUUGACUGGGUGCAGGGUCGCACAGAUAAUCAGCUCACAUCAUAAAGUCUCUGAACGUCUUUGUAAUGACUGUGUUUAAUAUAAGAACAUUUUAGCUGAUGAAUGAGUGAGUCAUAUAUCAUUAGACACAGUCUGGUGUUUAUACUCAAAGCGUCUUUAAGGAAAGAGCCUCAGUUAAACUCACGUGUAGUUGUUUUCAUUCAUACUCUGCUUCCAUACACCAUCAUCGUCUUCGUCUUCCACACACGCAAACUCCACAUCAAAUCAAAAUGGCUGCCUCUGUGCAUGAAGAGGAAGAGCUGCUAAAAACAAGAAAAAAGAAAAAUACUUUGAAUAAUAUUUCAAUGUCCUUUAUUUGUAGCCUCUCAGUCAGUAUUGUAUCAAUGCCAAUAAGGAACUAGGUCAGAGCUCUCUGUGUUUGGAGGAGAUUUAUUCACAAACUGUGAGUCAUGUGACAAUGGGAGUCACACUGGGUGAGAGAGGACACAUUUCUCUACGUCUUCAUAUAGAAAGUGUCUGUGUAGGUUGGAAACUGUGGGAAUUAAAAGAGGUUUGAAUCAGAUUUUUAUGGUAAAAUGUUCAGAGGUGGCAGUUAGAGUGAUGAUGUCACACAUUCUAGAACAGAACAUUCAGCGCAACACACACCCAUUAUAAACUCUGACACUGUAAAACAACAAAUGUCAAAUUUAAACUGUGAUUUAAUAAAAACUAUAACAUCUAUCAACAUGAAGAUUUAACCUGAAGAAGUCUCAGGUCUUGUGACCUGUUUAAAGUUUCAACCAUGUUCCUGUGUGAAAGUAAAAUGUGGCUCCAAAGAGGAGUGGGUUUGAUCAUUUUUGAAAGACUUCCCAUUCAUUUUCAACGGGAGAUUUUUUGUAGUUUUUUAUGAUUUACCUCAUUAAACCAUUUUUUGUUGAUAAACGAACAGACAGUAAAACCCCAGCUGUGAUCUGAGGUGUUCCUUUGUCUUCAGUUCAAGCGUCUUCUCACAUCGACCUCUAACAGAGCAGAUCAUCACACAUUUAGAAAGAAAAGCAGACAGACAGAUUUCAUCCUCCUGCUCUGUAACAUGUAUCUGUCUGUAAAUGCAACAUGGCCUUUACUCGACUUCUCCUUGACAAAAUGCAGGACCAUUCUUAAUAGAUGCAGCUGCCACAACAGGCUGUUAUGCAAUCAUUAGUCAGCCUGGUCCACAUUAUCCUGUCAUUUAGUUUCUCACACAGACACCUCAGAUUCUCUUCCUGCAGAGACACUGGCACACUGGUGCUUUAAAGCCCUGAGGAUGUUGAACACCAGUGUACAGAGGAGAGGACAAUGGAGGAGGUGUAAACAGGAGGCUGAGACGGAGAAGAAAGAGGAGGCCAGAUGGGAAGUUGUUGACAUCCAGUUGCACAGUAACUCGCUGACCUCCAGUUCAGCCGCUCAGCUUCACCACACCCUCUUCACUAAGCCUGAGUUUUAGUGAAGUUCCGGAGGACAAUUCCCUCAACAUCCGCAUCGCGUUGCUCCUCACAUGGGACCACCCAGCGAGCCUAAUCUGGGGUAGCAGACAUGUUUGUCUGAACAAUGUCAAGGCAGGUUUGCUUUCUUAGCCUCGGCUGUUCCCUGCACACACACAGCUCAGACAGGCCGGGCUUCCUCUGCUGUUAAUUACGGCCACAGCUUGCAUGGAGGCAUAUCAUUAGCAGUAAUUGCACACAGCAUCCCACUGCCAUGUGCCUCGCUUUUUCUUUUCUGUCCCAGAUUUACGCUGCACUGAUCCAUGAAGGACCAGCGACCAGGGGAGGACUGAUGCAACUCCAUGUGUUCACAUCUAUCAACAGGAGGAAAUCAGGAGUCUGAGAACGGGCACAACGGUUCCAUGUCAGUUCCAGGAAAUACAGGGAUUACUGAGCGGCAGUGUUUGUUGUGUUGCUGAAAAUUAAGUCAGCACUGUCUGAGAAAAUGGACGCCAUCAGGUUUCGUGCAGUUCGUCCAACAACAAUCGAAUGCCUCAGACUAAUGGUGCGUUCAAUUCACAUUGGAGGUUGGAACUGGGACUGUCCAGCUGAGAAGUUGGACGCUCACAGGAAAGUCUUUGUUGUUCGGUGCUCUGUGUAGAGUGUUCACUACUACUGAUGUGAGCAGCAGCCAUCUUGAAUUCUUAUAUCAGGGUUGGUGGAGUUGCUCCAACUUUCUGAGUUGGAAAUCUGACUUCAUGGGGCGUUCAGGUUCAAACUUCUGAGCAGGAACUUGGAAACUCAGACUUCUGAGUACACCUGGAAUGUAGCAUGAUACCUCCUCCCUGGGGUGAAGAAGGUUGGUGUUUGUUGGUGACAGAGCAGUCCAAGAUAAACUGAACAUGUCCUGCAGCUGAUCUGUCUCCACCUCAGAGGAGAACCAGGACUCAUUAAAAGCACCAGGUGGAAAUGUAAAGGAAAGAUGGGAUCAUUUAUCACCUGGAUAAAGUGUCUGGAUGCAGAUCAGAGUUUAACUCCAGGUGUACAUGAGGUCAAAGAGUCAAACAUUUCUGUUUCAUCUCCUUCUUCCUCAGGCCACAAACAGAUCAAUCAGCCUUUGUACUGAUCUCUGCUCAGGUUUAGACCAUGUUGUCUGAUGUAUAUUCACUGACUCUCCAAAUGCUACUGGAUGAAAAAGGGAUCUUAUCUCAGAAUCUCAGAUCAUACUGGAACAUACAAAAUGCUCAUUGUGAAUAAAGUGGAGCAGACAUGAUUUGUUGGCUCCACUUCAAUAAAAACAGCCUCGAGCAUCGACGAACCUCCACAGCGGUCACUGCUGCUUCGCCUGCAGCUCUCCCAGUAAACACACUCUCUUUGUUUCUCUCAUUGUGAGUGUUCAGAAAUGUGGAGUGCCUCCCCCCCUCCCCUCCCUCACCCUCACCUGCACACUGUGGCAGAUCGACACCAAGCAACAGCCGCCGAGCCAAACCGGGCCUCAGAUGGCGAGGACCUGGCCUGUGGGAGGAACAGACUUAACACAAACUAGAAAAACCAACACAGCUGCAAUAAACACACAGAGACAGGAGCAGACCAGUUUAUCUGAACUGUAAGCCAGAGCUCUAACACCGACCUUUAACACGUGAACGUGUUAAUGUGAAAACCAGACGAUGAUAUGAAUAAAUACUUUCUAAAGCCACAGACAAGUGACUCAGCUGGGCUUCACUGCACUCUCUUUCCUCUCCUGCAGCUGAACGCAGAAAUAACAGGUUUUUAAUCAUUUCAUUUUCCUUUUUUGUAAAACAAUGGCAGUGUGACAUCCAGGAAGUGAGACAGAGCAGCAGAGGAACAGCUUCUAACUAUGGCAUCAACAGAACUGAUUUACUGGUAAUCAAUUACCCUGUUAGCAGAUGUACAGUAUUAUGACUCUAUACUCUACUCAAGUGUUUACUAUUUUUAAAAACAGAUUAAGUAUUAAAAUGUUCAUUUCAUUAAUAUUAA